UACCCCUAGCAAAUCUCAAAAAACCGUCUCAGUUCGGAUUGGGCUCUGCAACUCGAGCCCAUGAAGUUGGAAUCGCUAGUAAUCGUGGAUCAGCAUGCCACGGUGAAUACGUUCCCGGGCCUUGUACACACCGCCCGUCACACCAUGGGAGUUGGUUUUACCUGAAGACGGUGCGCUAACCGAAAGGGGGCAGCCGGCCACGGUAGGGUCAGCGACUGGGGUGAAG
RNAcentral lists this ribosomal RNA (226 nucleotides) under uncultured Nitrobacter sp. Its description in RNAcentral is "partial 16S ribosomal RNA". It matches the Rfam family "Bacterial small subunit ribosomal RNA", at positions 1259 to 1485 of the family's 1533-position model. Lineage: Bacteria; Pseudomonadati; Pseudomonadota; Alphaproteobacteria; Hyphomicrobiales; Nitrobacteraceae. The record is from RNAcentral.